This 1593-nucleotide long non-coding RNA is filed under the name Heterocephalus glaber (naked mole-rat). RNAcentral's name for it is "lncRNA (ENSHGLG00000044707.1)". The record is from RNAcentral. Lineage: Eukaryota; Metazoa; Chordata; Mammalia; Rodentia; Bathyergidae.
UUCAUUGUGAAACACUAAAAAUCAACAAAUUGGAAGAAGUCAGGUGUUGGGCGUUAAGAGAAACCAGCACAGGACUCCCUGCUGGCGUCAGCGUGGGUUGUGUAAAUGGAAGUGCAAAACGCACAAACUGCGCAGGGGCAAACACGCUCCUGAGGGUGUUGGCAUUUCCUCAACUCUCUCCAGGGAGCAGGAAACGGGACUAGAACGCUCCCCGCAACAUUUACAUCACGAGAUCUGGGCGGGGACGAAGCUAAAGCCUCCUUGUUGACCAAGCCCGGCCGGACGACUCUGAGCAAGCACCAAGCCCCAGUCCACACAGCCGCUUCCGCCCUUCCACCCGACCUCAACCGCAUGCCACCCCGCGUCAGGGCACCUUCCUGCGCCAUUACCAUUGUGCGGCUUCCCAGAGUGUUUCCCACGCAGCUCGGAGAUGGCAACGGUCACGGAGCAGGCGGUCCAGCCGGCAGCACACUUGGCAGCUCGCUCGGGGAGCGGACUUCCGCGCCUGGACGGAGAAAGAGCGCUCUUGCUACGGCCCACCUGAUUGGAAGUUCAUGGAGCCCGCUGAUUGGCUCCUGCUCCAUUGACCGCCCUCCGAGCUAAGAGUGACAGCGAAACCAAAUCCCUAACAGUGGAUGCUCCGGGUACCUGACUGGAUUCCGUGAGCUCUUCCUGUGCGUUGCUCCUGAAAGAAGGAUCACACGUGUGCGCAGACAUUUCCAGGGUCAGCAGCCAUGGAGGUGACCCCUGAUGUCAGGAGUUCAGGACAGCCUCGAAAAAUAAAUAAAUAUAUGCCAAAGAAUUUCUACUCAAGAAAUGAAGAAAGUAGAAUUAAAUGAAGGCAGUAUUCUACAGAGGAGUCAGGAUGAAAUAAAACCAAACAUUUCAACUGCUUCAGACAGGAUGUUUCUGCUUUAAAGAAAAUCAACCACACACUGCAAGAGUAAAUACAAGUAAACACAUAGAAUAUUAUGUUAUGUAUCAUACUCCAGGAAUUCUGACACAAGAACUUCUCAGGCCCUUGAAAACUCUGAAGUGAAAAUCCUGCACUUUGUGUGAUAAUCAGAUGGCUAGUGGUCAGGGUACUGUUGGUAGUUUCUCAUGAAAAAUGAUCUGAAAUCCAGAAAGACCAAGGAAUGCUCAAAAGCUGGAACUUGUGAAACUCACGUUUAUAACUGGGAAGUAGGUUGAAAGUUUAAGCCUCACCUAUUGUACCUGUGAAAAGCAGGAAAGAGGUUAAGACUUAGUUCAUAAUGAAAACAAAAAGCCUAUGUUUGUGUCAAUAUACCAGGAAAUUAUUCACUUGUAAGGGAGGCUAUUGUCUUCAUUCUAUGACAUUUAGCCUCAUCCUUGUCUAAACCUACAGGAUGCUAGUAAAUUCCACUCCUUUAUGCUGUGACAAAAAAAAGAGACACAUCUAUAUGUUUCCUGAGGACCAGAAUCCAUCCUGAUUGAAAAUCACUAACUGAGCAUCUAUGUGGGCUGAUUGAAAAGACACCCAGGUUGCUUCUCAACCAAGAGGAUUUCUCCAUUUCUCUACCUCCACACCACAAAUCAAGACGGGUCUUUCUUCCCAAAUUACUUCAACUCUGC